UACGAAGGGGGCUAGCGUUGUUCGGAAUCAUUGGGCGUAAAGAGCGUGUAGGCGGCUCGAUAAGUCUGCUGUGAAAGUCCAGGGCUCAACCCUGGAAGGCCGGUGGAAACUGUCGGGCUAGAGUCCGGAAGAGGCGAGUGGAAUUCCCGGUGUAGCGGUGAAAUGCGCAGAUAUCGGGAGGAACACCAAUGGCGAAGGCAGCUCGCUGGGACGGUACUGACGCUGAGACGCGAAAGCGUGGGGAGCAAACAGG
Molecule: ribosomal RNA, 253 nt
Filed under: uncultured bacterium
Lineage: Bacteria
Description: partial 16S ribosomal RNA
Rfam family: Bacterial small subunit ribosomal RNA
Source: RNAcentral